AGAAGCAGAGAUUGGAAGGAGGAGCAGGGGGCCUGCCCUCCACCCCCACACUCUGGGCCCGAGACUCCUCGCUCCUCCUCGCCUCGCCUCGCCUCGAGUCUCUGGCUCCGACCUCUCUACUCCCUUGUUUCUGACCUGUGCUCCGUGGUGUCUCUGAUCUCCCCCUGCCGCCAGGGGAAAGGAGGAACAUCCCUCCCAGGACUCACUCACACCUAUUCUCCAACUCUGCCUACCUGCUCAAUUCACCUGAUGCUCUGCCAGUGGAUUGCUGAUGUCUCUACAUUGAUUCAGAUUUGCACCCACAUCUGAAAAUGGUCAGCAGGCAGGGACCCUCUGUCACCACAGGUGGAGGAAGAGGAGAUGAAAGAGCCUUGUCUGACACCCUGGAGACUGCAAGAAGGCCCUUGCCAGAUGUGGGCCCCUCCAUCUUGGACUUCCCAGCUAGCCUCCAGAACUGGAAACUACCCAGACUGUGUCCUCUCCCUCUUACUCUCCUAAAGGAAGACAAGGAAGACAAUGACAAAUGGCGUUUGCAGCAAAGCAACACCAACAGCCAACUUGAUGCUCAAGAGAGAACGCUAUGCCUCUUCCUCAUGGUUUCCAGUGCUCUACACAUUCUGAGAAACUUUUCUGGUAAUAAACUAUAGAAACAAUGAGACUGUGCCCAUGGGAGAGACCCCAUCUCUACAAAAAAUACAAAAAUUAGCCAGGCGUAGUGGUGUGCACCUGGAUUCCCCAGCUACUUGGAAGGCUGAGAUGGGAAGAUCACUUGAGCCCCGGAGGUUGAGACUGCAGUGCGCCAUGAUCACGCCACUGUACUUCAGCCUCAGUGACAAAGCGAAAGCCUGUUUCAAAAAAAAAAAAAAGACAGAGAGAAACGGGCUGGGGACGGUGGUUCACACCUGUAAUCCCCGCACUUUGGAAGGCCGAGGCAGGUGGAUCACUUGAGAUCAGGAGUUCGAGACCAGCCUGGCCAACAUGGUGAAACCCCGUCUCUACUAAAAAUACAAAAAUGAGCAAGGCAUGGUGGUGGAUGCCUAUAAUCCCAGCUACUCAGAAGGCCGAGGUGGGAGAAUCACUUGAAUCCCAGGAGACAGAGGUUGCAGUGAGCCGAGAUCGCGCCACUGCACUCCAGUUUGGGCAACAGAAUGAGGCUCCAUCUCAAGAAACAGAAAAAGGGAAAUGAUCCCUGAAAGUACACUCUUUUGUUGUAGUUUUUAUUUGCAUUUUGCUAACGAUUAGUGAUGUUGAGCACCUUUUCAUGUGUUUACUGGCUAUUUGUUUUCUUUUUUUUUUUUUUUUUUUGGAGCGAUACCUAUUCAAGUCCUUUGUUCAUUUUUGGGUUGCUUGGUUUUUGUUGUUGGUGUUGAGUUUUUUAGGAGCUGCCUCUAUAUCCUGGAUAUCAAUUCCUUAUCAGAUAUAUAACUUGCAAAUAUUUUCUCCCAUUCUGCCAAUUACCUUUUGAAUUUGUUGAUAUUGGUUUUUUGAUGCACAAAGUUCUUAAGUUUUCAUCA
RNAcentral lists this long non-coding RNA (1514 nucleotides) under Homo sapiens (human). RNAcentral's name for it is "HSALNT0390042". The record is from RNAcentral. Lineage: Eukaryota; Metazoa; Chordata; Mammalia; Primates; Hominidae.